RNAcentral lists this ribosomal RNA (996 nucleotides) under Triticum aestivum (bread wheat). RNAcentral's name for it is "partial small subunit ribosomal RNA". The record is from RNAcentral. Lineage: Eukaryota; Viridiplantae; Streptophyta; Magnoliopsida; Poales; Poaceae.
AUGGAUCUCCCGGAUGAGCUGCUCGCUGACAUCCUCCACCGCCUCCCGCCGCGGGGAAUCGCGGCGUGCCGGGCCGUCUGCAAGGGGUGGCGCGAUGCCGUUGAUGCUGCAGGGUUGCUGCUGGCCGUGGCGCCCCUCCUGCCGCGUCCCAUGCGUGGCAUCUUCGUCAACUUCUCCAGCAUCCGCCACGACCGCCCCUACCUCUUCUCCCGCGGGCCGACGGUGAACCCCAGCGUCGCCCUCGACGCCUGCGCGCUCGACUUCAUGCACCACCUGUGCCGCGGCUACCAAAGGGAGACCAUCCUCGACCACCGCAACGGCCUCCUACUCUACAUGAACGGUCUAAAGAUAUACGUGUGCAACCCCGCGACAUGCCGGUGGGCGGAGCUUCCGCCGAUGCCCUCUCGUUGGUCCAGCGCCGCGUACCUCGUCUUUGAUCCCGUCGUGUCUCUGCACUACGACGUGUUCAUCUUCCGAAAUACGGGCAAGGGUAACACCCCACCAUCUACAUACAUGAUACCAGUGUACUCGUCGAAAACCGACCAGUGGGAGGAGUGGCCUUUUAUCCGGGAAGGAGAUGCUACUGCGAUCACCAUGGUGUCGGGUCAACUAGGAGAUCCGAAGCGCCGUGGUGCCGUGUGCUGGCGUGGAGCACUCUACCUUCAUUGUUGCAGCGGUCUUCUCACAAAGCUUUCAUUGGACAAGAAGACUUAUCUAGUCAUCAAAAUCCCAGAAAUAACGAUGAUGCCUACUAGUCAUGGCCUAGGAGCUGCACUGGGAGGCGGCCCAGUGCUCCUCGUCGCGUGGCUCUUCCCCGGCGACCCGGUUCUCAUUGCCGGGAUGGCUCUUGGCCUCAUGUCCAUCCCGCCACUCCUCAGCUCGCACCCGCACCGCCUCGUCCGCACGGUUGCGUCCGCACUGUGCUGCAGAUGCGUGCUGAGAGUGGCACUGUGGUGUCAGGGCGCGGUGCUAUCGGAGCAAGACGGCACACUUUAA